Long non-coding RNA from Rhea pennata, 749 nucleotides. RefSeq lists it as uncharacterized. NCBI's taxonomy places the organism in Eukaryota, Metazoa, Chordata, Aves, Rheiformes, Rheidae. The record is from RefSeq and is a predicted model, not a curated record. The transcript is spliced from 3 exons.
GUCCAGAUGAGUGCGAAUGGAAGGAAAAAAAAAAAUGGAAAAACCAAGGAAGAGAUUUCAGACAGAGGCAGACAUGGGCAAGGAAGUUUUUAAAAGAAGGACGGAAAUAUUAACAGCACACAAUGGAAAAACUUUGAACCAUUCUGAGCCAAAGCAUGCGGUACUGUACACCUCACCUGUAACACAGAACUAGCAUACCUGAGACUGAUCAAUCAUCCAGAGGACAGAGGGUAGUUCAAGAUUACCACUGUAGUCCUAUUCUGAGAACAACGGCUUUCUCUUCUACGCAUGCAUGUACUACCAUAUGAGCUAAAGUACAUGCCUUCACUACGAAGAAUGUAACUCAUACGAUGUUCCAGAAAAAUCCAUUUCCAUUAGAAAAGUAAUUGCCAUGAGAUGAAACAGCGGAAGUAGAAUUAUCUACAUUCAAAGGAAUAUGAUGGUUGGUCUCAGAUCAUGCAGUUACAUUAUUUCACUGAUGAUAUUCUUGCUUUCUUUUCUUCCUACCUUAUAUUUCUUCACUCCUCAAAGAUAUCUACUCCACCAUUAUUCAAGGAUAUCCACACUUACCUUCACAAGUUCCAGAAUAUAAAAGUAGGUAUAGCAGCACAAUGCAUUUCAAAAUAUUGUUAAGAUACCAAAAAAUAGUAAAAUAGUCUUGAUGUAAUAUGAACAGGCUAGAAUCUAAACACAGAAUUUGAUAACAAAAUUGUUUCUGCAAGAUGCUGUACUGCAAGGCACAGAGUGAU